GAAGUCGACGGUAACAUUGAUGCUUGCAUCAGAUGACGAGUGGCGCACGGGUGAGUAACGCGUAUACAAUCUACCUUUUACAGGGGGAUAGCCUUUAGAAAUGAAGAUUAAUAUCCCAUAGUAAGUAGUUUUGGCAUCAAGACAACUUUAAAGUUUCGGCGGUAAAAGAUGAGUAUGCGUUCUAUUAGUUAGUUGGUAAGGUAACGGCUUACCAAGACCACGAUAGAUAGGGGCCCUGAGAGGGGGAUCCCCCACACUGGUACUGAGACACGGACCAGACUCCUACGGGAGGCAGCAGUGAGGAAUAUUGGACAAUGGGCGCGAGCCUGAUCCAGCCAUGCCGCGUGCAGGAAGACUGCCCUAUGGGUUGUAAACUGCUUUUAUACAGGAAGAAACCUUUUCACGUGUGAAAAGCUGACGGUACUGUAAGAAUAAGGAUCGGCUAACUCCGUGCCAGCAGCCGCGGUAAUACGGAGGAUCCAAGCGUUAUCCGGAAUCAUUGGGUUUAAAGGGUCCGUAGGUGGAUAAUUAAGUCAGGGGUGAAAGUUUGCAGCUCAACUGUAAAAUUGCCUUUGAUACUGGUUAUCUUGAAUUAUUGUGAAGUGGUUAGAAUAUGUAGUGUAGCGGUGAAAUGCAUAUAUAUUACAUAGAAUACCAAUUGCGAAGGCAGAUCACUAACAAUAUAUUGACACUGAUGGACGAA
Molecule: ribosomal RNA, 703 nt
Filed under: Winogradskyella sp.
Lineage: Bacteria; Pseudomonadati; Bacteroidota; Flavobacteriia; Flavobacteriales; Flavobacteriaceae
Description: bacterial SSU rRNA
Rfam family: Bacterial small subunit ribosomal RNA
Source: RNAcentral